This 372-nucleotide ribosomal RNA is filed under the name Korthalsella latissima. RNAcentral describes it as "eukaryotic LSU rRNA". It matches the Rfam family "Eukaryotic large subunit ribosomal RNA", at positions 280 to 649 of the family's 3401-position model. Lineage: Eukaryota; Viridiplantae; Streptophyta; Magnoliopsida; Santalales; Viscaceae. The record is from RNAcentral.
AUGCAGCCCAAAUUGGGUGGUAAAUUUCGUCCAAGGCUAAAUACUGGCGAGAGACCGAUAGCAAACAAGUACCGCGAGGGAAAGAUGAAAAGGACUUUGAAAAGAGAGUCAAAGAGUGCUUGAAAUUGUCGGGAGGGAAGCGGAUGGGGGUCGGCGAUGCGACUCGGUCGCAUGCGGAACGGUUGUGAGCCGGUCUGCCAAUCGGCUCGAGUUGUGGGUCGAUGCGGAUUGUGGCGGCGGUCAAAGCCCGAGCUUUUGAUGAUGCUUGCGGAGAUGUCGUCGUCAUAAUUGUGGAUGAAAUCGUGCAUCGUUAUGGUGGUGCUACGGCACCUGCACGCUCCAGGCAUCGUCCCGUGGGCUCCCCAUUCGACC